Unclassified non-coding RNA from Papio anubis (olive baboon), 117 nucleotides. It matches the Rfam family "Metazoan signal recognition particle RNA". From Rfam's summary of the family: The signal recognition particle (SRP) is a universally conserved ribonucleoprotein. It is involved in the co-translational targeting of proteins to membranes. The eukaryotic SRP consists of a 300-nucleotide 7S RNA and six proteins: SRPs 72, 68, 54, 19, 14, and 9. The record is from Ensembl. NCBI's taxonomy places the organism in Eukaryota, Metazoa, Chordata, Mammalia, Primates, Cercopithecidae.
GCCAGGUGUGGUGGCUCACCCCUGUAAUCCCAGCACUUUGGGAGGCUGAGACAGGUGGGUCAUCUGAGGUCAGGAGUUCUGGACCAGCCUGGCCAACAUGGUGAAACCCCGUCUCUA